This 635-nucleotide ribosomal RNA is filed under the name uncultured Actinomycetes bacterium. RNAcentral's name for it is "bacterial SSU rRNA". It matches the Rfam family "Bacterial small subunit ribosomal RNA", at positions 234 to 885 of the family's 1533-position model. Lineage: Bacteria; Bacillati; Actinomycetota; Actinomycetes. The record is from RNAcentral.
CGCCUGGGGAGUACGGGUGAGGUAACGGCUCACCAAGGCAUCGACGGGUAGCUGGUCUGAGAGGACGAUCAGCCACACUGGGACUGAGACACGGCCCAGACUCCUACGGGAGGCAGCAGUAGGGAAUCUUGCGCAAUGGGCGAAAGCCUGACGCAGCAACGCCGCGUGGGGGAUGAAUGCCUUCGGGUUGUAAACCCCUUUCAGCAGGGACGAAAAUGACGGUACCUGCAGAAGAAGCUCCGGCCAACUACGUGCCAGCAGCCGCGGUAAUACGUAGGGAGCGAGCGUUGUCCGGAAUUAUUGGGCGUAAAGAGCUCGUAGGCGGUUCGGUAAGUCGGGUGUGAAAACUCAAGGCUCAACCUUGAGACGCCACUCGAUACUGCUGUGACUUGAGUCCGGUAGAGGAGUGUGGAAUUCCUGGUGUAGCGGUGAAAUGCGCAGAUAUCAGGAGGAACACCAGCGGCGAAGGCGGCACUCUGGGCCGGUACUGACGCUGAGGAGCGAAAGCAUGGGGAGCAAACAGGAUUAGAUACCCUGGUAGUCCAUGCCGUAAACGUUGGGCACUAGGUAUGGGAUCAUAUCAACGGAUUCCGUGCCGUAGCUAACGCAUUAAGUGCCCCGCCUGGGGAGUACGG